Molecule: ribosomal RNA, 254 nt
Filed under: uncultured bacterium
Lineage: Bacteria
Description: partial 16S ribosomal RNA
Rfam family: Bacterial small subunit ribosomal RNA
Source: RNAcentral
UACGUAGGGUGCGAGCGUCGUCCGGAAUUAUUGGGCGUAAAGAGCUCGUAGGCGGUGUGUCACGUCGUUCGUGAAAACCUGCAGCUUAACUGUGGGCGUGCGGUCGAUACGGGCAUCACUGGAGUUCGGCAGGGGAGACUGGAAUUCCUGGUGUAGCGGUGAAAUGCGCAGAUAUCAGGAGGAACACCGGUGGCGAAGGCGGGUCUCUGGGCCGAUACUGACGCUGAGGAGCGAAAGCGUGGGGAGCGAACAGG